Molecule: long non-coding RNA, 2536 nt
Organism: Equus caballus (horse)
Lineage: Eukaryota; Metazoa; Chordata; Mammalia; Perissodactyla; Equidae
Source: Ensembl
CUGCAGGCGUCCCGAGGGGCAGGAUCGUCUCCGGAGCCGACCGUGCCAGGGCUGGGCCACGGAAGGCGGAGCUGCAGCAUGUGGAGGCCCUUUGUGGACAGGUGCACAGGCCCAUCUCUCUCCGAGGCGCUACCUGCGGUUUACUGGACGUUUAUUAGAAGCCCACGCAAUAUCGUGAAGCACCUGCAGGCAAUAAAACCCUUUACAUGUGUGAGGCCUUGAGGAAAUUAACGGCUCCUCCCUGGGGAUGCAUAUUUCGUGAAGAUGUUUAUUACAGAUGAAGUGCUCCCGGGGUGGAACAUUAACAAGUUGUAGAGUGAUAAAAGGAUUUUUAUCCUUUUUCAGUGACAGAGGUAGGAAGAACGCUUUAACGGAAUCUAUAAAAGGCCCACUUCCUAAUGAAUUUUCUUUACUCUUUAUUAAUAGGGUUGGCUGAGCGGAGUCAGGGUCCUUGGAUGGCUGGACCACUGGACAAGGGGAAUGGAGCCGACUGGAGGGGGUGCGGGGCUUGGAUGCUGGACAGAGAAUGCGUGAGGAAGGUCUGGGUUCGAAUUCCAGGCACUGAAGACCACGGGGAGCCUGGGCGGGUGAUGAACACGUUCUGCCCCAGGAAAUCAUUUGGAGGCCGCUCCAGGUGAUGGGGUGAGUCAGGCCAAAAGGCAGGUUCCAAGCCCCUCUUUUUAACCCCCUGUUCCCCGCUCCGGCCUGCAGGCCAUUACCGAGAUGAAAGCCGGGAGAAUGCCUUUGGCCCAGGACUGCGGAAUCUAAUUGAAUUAUAUGAACGCAGUUAAACGUCGGCUUCAGAGAGGCAGGCCUCGCUUUCAAGACUGGAUGCUUCAGGAGUUAAUGGGCUAUUUGAACAAUAUAGGCCAAGAGCCGAACACAGCCCUUCUCCCUACUGCGGUCACUGACGUUCCAAGAGGCCAGUCUGAUGGCAUCAGGCCCUGCUGAACAACUGCUGUGGCUCCCCACUGCCCUCAGAGGAGAGUUCAGACUCCGUCUUGGCUUCCGACGUUCUUCCUGUUGCCUCGAGCCUCAUCUCUCACUCUCAUCUUCACGCCUCCUGGGUCCCUCCUCUGCUUGUUGUGGACCGUCAGCCAGGAAUGCCUCCUCCUAACCCCUAGGGACCCCGCUUCUCCCUUACCUGCCAGGCCCAGUUCAAAUGCAGCCUCCUCCAGGAAGCCUUCCUUUUCUGCCUGGAUCAGAUUCCUGUGACUGUGUAUAUGUCUUAUCAUUGGCCCCCUCCCUCCACUAGGCCAUGAAGACCUUGAGGGCAGGAUCCAUGUUCAUUAUUAUCAUAAAAAGAAGUUUAACACACUACUGGUUCCCACUUGUCAAGCAUGUCCUGAACGCCAGGUGCUUUACAAGCAUUAGCUCAUUAAACCUCCGCAGCACCCCGUUUUAUUGUCCCCAUUUUACAGAUGAGGAAACUGAGGCUCAGAGACAGGAAGUUACUUGCUCAAGAAUCUCCAGCUGUCCCAUUGACCAGCUGAGUGGCCUCGCUUCACCUCCCUGACAACAGCGUCUACAUCACGGGGUUCGGGCAGUGGUGUGCUGCAAUCAGUUCAUACUGGCUCUCAAGAGGUGCUUGUGAAAUUUUCAGGAAUUAAUUUUGUGAGCUGCUUGUUAAAAGCAGUCACUGUUAAAAAUAAAGUUAUACAAACUUACCAUUCAAUAAAUGGCCUUAAAAUUAAAAGUAACAAAUACUCCGAACUCAUCAAUUCCUAUCAAUUCACUUCACUUUGCCAUCAUCGGCGCUCGAGGUUGUCUGCGUCUAUUGUGUCCGUGUGGGGGAAACACCAUAGGAUGGCGUGGACACCACCCCCUGCACAUCACCACCUACUGCCCAUCUCUUCCCAGCUCCACCUUCGGUGACAUCAGGAAGGUAGUUUGAAAUCACCCACGGUCGGAGUAUUUACAUCAUGGAAAUUGGCAAACUCCACGAAUCAGGGUUGGUUGUUUGUUCUCCAGAGAGCUGGUUGUGAGACUGGUACCAGCACCCCGCGGGAUUAUAGAGAAGAGUCGAUGAAGAAAUCUACCUAGAGCUCUGAGCACUCAAUUAAACAUUGCUUUGAUGAAGACUAUGAGUGGUGGUGAUGGCAACAAUGCCAAUGAUGUCAUGCUCCUCAUGCUUCAACCCCCAAACCUCUCUCUCCAGCCCAGGCCUGCCCUCCUGAGCUCCAGACCCACCUGGCCCCAGCUUCCUGGCCACUUCCACUAGGAUGCCCAAGAGCCCAUUGGACUUGACACGUCCAGAACAGAAUCUCCCGUCCAGGACUCCCCAGCUCAGUGAGUGGAAUAUUCACCCCCCAGCAGCUAGGCCAAAAAGAAAGUUAAAAAUCAUAUGUACCAAUUCUAUCAUAUAUUAGGAAUAUACAUAUAUACAUAUACAUAUGUGUGUAUAUGUAUACAUAUGUAUAUGUAUGUGUGUAUAUAUGCGUGUGUGUAUAUAUGCGUGUGUGUGUGUAUAACAUCAGGUGGCUUUACUGGCUUGGAGGAAAAUAAAGCAGGAAGAGGACAGAGAGUAACUGAGGGG